CCCUUAGAUGUUCUGGGCAGCACGCGCGCUACAAUGGUCUUCGCAAACGGAUGCAUUCUCGGAGGAGAAUGCCAAUCUUGGAAUCUAUGCCUUGGUCGGGACAGUUGCUUGCAAUUUUUCGACUCGAACCAGGAAUUCCUUGUAAUCGUGAUUCAUCACAUCACGAUGAAUACGUCCCUGCCCUUUGUACACACCGCCCGUCGCUCCUACCGAUCGAAGAGUUAGGUGAAUUGUUUUGAUCGAUAAGAUUUGACUAUGGUCAACUCUCGUUGUGAAAUUCUGUGAAUCUGACUGUUUAGAGGAAGGAAAAGUCGUAACA
RNAcentral lists this ribosomal RNA (319 nucleotides) under uncultured eukaryote. Its description in RNAcentral is "partial 18S ribosomal RNA". It matches the Rfam family "Eukaryotic small subunit ribosomal RNA", at positions 1470 to 1796 of the family's 1831-position model. The record is from RNAcentral.